AAACUUUCACCAUGGAUCUCUUGGUUCUGGCAUCGAUGAAGAACGCAGCGAAAUGCGAUAAGUAGUGUGAAUGCAGAAUUCAGUGAAUCAUCGAAUCUUUGAACGCACAUUGCGCCCCUCGGUAUUCCUUGGGGCAUGCCUGUUCGAGCGUCAUUU
This 156-nucleotide ribosomal RNA is filed under the name Microsphaeropsis sp. NRRL 40188. RNAcentral describes it as "5.8S ribosomal RNA". It matches the Rfam family "5.8S ribosomal RNA". From Rfam's summary of the family: 5.8S ribosomal RNA (5.8S rRNA) is a component of the large subunit of the eukaryotic ribosome. It is transcribed by RNA polymerase I as part of the 45S precursor that also contains 18S and 28S rRNA. Lineage: Eukaryota; Fungi; Ascomycota; Dothideomycetes; Pleosporales; Didymellaceae. The record is from RNAcentral.